CACAGCACCCGCACCCACCCCCGCACCCACCCACGGGGCUCCCCUCAGCCUCCCAGGGCCCUCCGGACCAGACCCCAGAGCCCCCCAGAGUGUUGGGUCACCCUCAGCAGGGCUUCAUGCAACUCAUCCUCUAAACUGUCCCCGCCUCCGAGCUGCCCUCCAGACUCAAGGCUAGAAAGCUCCUCCCCCGACUCGAGGACCAUUCAUCCUUCAGGUCUCAGCGGAACCCUCAGCUCCUCAGCUGGCCCCACUGUCUGCACACACAGGGUCAGCACCCACCCCCCAACACACACCCUAUAGGCUCCCGGGGCGGUGCCCACCCAGCACUGGGCACAGCUGCUCCUCCUGCUUAACGUCUGCCACCCCCACAGGGCUGCCGGCCACACAGGGGCAGGACCCCAGUCUGGCUCCCUGGGUGCAGCCUCCGCCUGACACUGAAGAUGUCCACUGAAUGAAUGAGCAAGCGGAAAGAGACCCCAUAACAUUACAGAAGAGAACGCUAAGAAAGGCCAUGAACUCCCAGGCUACCCUAUAGGUCAGGGUGAGGCAACAAAUGACACAAUCAAAAAAGUCUUGGGGUGCCUGGCUGGCUCAGUCAGUGCGGCAUGCAACUCUUGAUCUUGGCAUUGUGGGUUUGAGACCCACACUGGGGGGUAGAUAUUGCUUAAAAUAUUU
Mustela erminea (ermine) is the source of this 675-nucleotide long non-coding RNA. RefSeq lists it as uncharacterized. The transcript is spliced from 2 exons. The record is from RefSeq and is a predicted model, not a curated record. Lineage: Eukaryota; Metazoa; Chordata; Mammalia; Carnivora; Mustelidae.